Molecule: long non-coding RNA, 570 nt
Filed under: Gallus gallus (chicken)
Lineage: Eukaryota; Metazoa; Chordata; Aves; Galliformes; Phasianidae
Description: lncRNA (ENSGALG00010010539.1)
Source: RNAcentral
GUAGUGCUCAAUCUGACCAAAUUCUCAACUUGUUGACCUUAACAGGCCUGAAGCUUUGGAGAACUUAUUUGGGUACUUUCAUCAACAGUAGCUCACAGAAUGGGACUGCACUGUUGCCAGAUCCAUAAUGCUGAAGGUCUCCUUUCAGAUGACUUUCAGGCAUUGAUUCCCUGACGGUUUUUGCUCUCAGAAAUGAGAGGAGCAGAUUUUCAAGUCCAAGAACUGAAAUCCAACUCCUAAAUCAGAAGAUUCUCCGAAGGGGACAAGAAAUACAUUAACGAGUACAGAGGACAUUUUUUACUAAGAGGAAAGAGUUUUUUGAGCUGCUCUGAGAGAAGAAAUCUCUCAGGCUGAAUUCAGACAAGCUUUUAAGUACUAAUCAACUCAAAAGGUUUGAGUUCAAUGAGACAUUUCACAUGCUUAAGCUGAGACUUUUUUAAUUACCUGGUUGAGCUGAAGUCAAGGAUACUUUGCAAUCAAUAGCAUAAUGAAGAGCUUAAGAGAAGCAUAUGAAAUAUUGUCUAUUAUUUUAGGAGGAUCUUGAACAAUAGAUGCAGAAGCCAAUGUAAC